AGAGCGAACGCUGGCGGCAGGCCUAACACAUGCAAGUCGAGCGCCGUAGCAAUACGGAGCGGCAGACGGGAGAGUAACACGUGGGAACGUACCUUUUGGUUCGGAACAACUGAGGGAAACUUCAGCUAAUACCGGAUAAGCCCUUACGGGGAAAGAUUUAUCGCCAAAAGAUCGGCCCGCGUCUGAUUAGCUAGUUGGUGAGGUAAUGGCUCACCAAGGCGACGAUCAGUAGCUGGUCUGAGAGGAUGAUCAGCCACAUUGGGACUGAGACACGGCCCAAACUCCUACGGGAGGCAGCAGUGGGGAAUAUUGGACAAUGGGCGCAAGCCUGAUCCAGCCAUGCCGCGUGAGUGAUGAAGGCCCUAGGGUUGUAAAGCUCUUUUGUGCGGGAAGAUAAUGACGGUACCGCAAGAAUAAGCCCCGGCUAACUCGUGCCAGCAGCCGC
This 445-nucleotide ribosomal RNA is filed under the name uncultured bacterium. RNAcentral describes it as "SSU rRNA". It matches the Rfam family "Bacterial small subunit ribosomal RNA", at positions 26 to 518 of the family's 1533-position model. The record is from RNAcentral.